AAGACACUAGUAAAAUCAUUACCUUGCCUUGUCGAGGCAAAAUUGUGGGUUAAACCCCCGCGUGUCUUA
This 69-nucleotide transfer RNA is filed under the name Hilsa kelee (kelee shad). RNAcentral's name for it is "tRNA-Asp". It matches the Rfam family "tRNA". From Rfam's summary of the family: Transfer RNA (tRNA) molecules are approximately 80 nucleotides in length. Lineage: Eukaryota; Metazoa; Chordata; Actinopteri; Clupeiformes; Clupeidae. The record is from RNAcentral.